GCUAAAACUCGGCCGCUGGGGCCCCGGGCCUUUGCUGCAGAACCGCUCCCGAGCCAGCAGGCCUCCAGCUCACGCCAAACCCAGCCUGGGAUUUGGCAAGGGGGCAGUCCUGCCCACUGAUGAGGAGAAGCGUCAGCCUAGCAUCAACCCUUGAAAACUGGGUGUAUGUUUCCACCUGCAGAGACCGCAGCAGUGAAUCACUCCUCAGCUGCAUUCACUAUACAAAGUUGCCACAGAGACUUCCUAAUGAAUCAGACCCAAGGCAUCCUUCACGCCGAGCCAGGUGGGAGGUACCUGAUCUGGAGGUGCCUUAGCCGCCCGUACCGUUACGCGGCCCUGUCCUAAACGCUGCACCGCGCGCAGCACACGCUGCCGCCCUGACUUGGGGUGCGGUUUCACGUUGCAGUUAAGCUGAUACGCUUUACGGUGCCUCUGAAAGGACCACCCCCUUUUGACAACUGCAGGGCACUUAGUAGUUGAGCCGCGUUGUCUGAGUGAUUCCUGGUAUUUAAAUGAACCCACGUAUUGCCAAAGGAUGUGCUUUCCUAUGCUCUUCCUUGGCUCUAACUGAAGUUAGGUUGCAGCAGGGAGGCUGUGCUGGUGGCCUUCCUGCUCACCUUGAAAAGUCCCAGGAUCAGGCUUGUGGAUCUUGAUGAUAUUGCUGUAAGUAUUGGCAAGGGGGAUAUUACAUGAUUAGGGGCAGGGGGGAUCAUCUCACAACUGCAAGCAGGGAAACCAGUCCACAAGAAGGCCCCGUUCCUCAGCCGUGGUCCACAUGUUGAAAGCUUUGAGAAUCCCUGAGCCACCUUCUGCUUUCUGCCUAUUUCCAGGCAGAAAACUGUGGCUGAAAGAAAACCCAUGGAACCUACGGCAGAACCUGAGAUUUAGCCUGGGAUAGCCAUAAAAGCCUGGCUGGCAACCAGGCAUCUCAAAGAGCCAAGCUGAGAUUAUGCAUGCAUCCUUAAUUUAGCCAUUGUUUAACAUUUAAAUGUUAUACUAUGACCUUCAAAAUAGUCUUCUAAUGUAAAUUUGUAACAAAUAUCCUUGGAAUUAUUAACAACAACAAAAAAAAGGUUGAGGAAAAAUCAAUAGGAGAUGGUCUCUGAGGCUUUGAAGAUGUGCUGGCUGCUUUUAAAAAAGGCAACUGAGCCAGAAAGCCUCUCUGCCAGGAAUUUCUCUGUAAUCUGUCUUUUGAGGGCUAAUAUCCUUGAACAAGACUGCUGGAUGUCAUCUGCUUUUAACCACAGCCUCCUGCGUACCACGAGUAAACCAAACAUCAUGAUGUUUAUUAAAUAUGCGGAGGCAAAUCAGACAACGAAAAUAAGGGAGAGCACAAGCAGCUAGAUUUUGUCUUGCUCCAGGAGGAUUCUACCCACCGCACCUCUCCAGCACGUAACAUGUUGUAAACAUGCCCCUGGGGCAUGCAAAUUAUUCCCACAGCUGAGGUCAGGACAUGAAUUUAUCAGCUGAGAGAGCUGCCAGCUCUCAUGGCUGUACAAUAUUUAUAAAUUACUAUGCAACAAGUAAGAUUCAGAAUUUUGCUAAUUUGCCUACAUCGUUCCGUUUUCCAGCUGUUGCCUACAUCACAGAUCACAGGUGCUGGCCAGCCGGAAUGCAUCCGUGUCCCUGUGCCUGGAGACAUUAGAAAUGCCCGGGCACCUUUAGUGAAGGUUGAGUGGCACCUGGAGCGCCAGGCCUUGGAGCAGCGUCUUCCUUGGCCGCAGGUCCAUGCCCGCGGUCUCCUGCUGCGGCCCAGCUCAGCACCAGCACCCCUGCCCGCCCGCCUCUGCCAGCAGCUCUGGAGCCUGUCUGCAUGAUCCAAGGAGCUGCUCUGGUGCCUACAAACCUGGGAGAUGGCAGAGCAUGUGCGAGAGCAGCGCUGACCGACCUCCUGGACUGCCAUCUGCAUAUUCAGAAGUCAUUUCCAGCCGGUUGGCUGCCUCCGGCCUCCCCACUCCCUCUUUAAAGGACCUGGGCGCAGAGGGAGGUGACGCUGGGCUGGUGCUGGGCAUCCCGUGUCCCUCAGCCCGCCCGGCAGCCCAGGAUGGGGUGCCUGCGGGGCGCCGCAUCCUCCGCACCCGGGCGAGCCCAGGGUGUGGGACGGUUUCCUGCACGGUCUCAGCCAAGGAGGGAGCAGAGGCAGAGGGGAUUCAGAGAGGCAUGACAGAGAAGGGGGAAGACCACUGUAUGGUAUUGGAAUGAUAGACCGUGUAACCUGUGGAGGAGACAGUCCUGAGGACCCGCAUUGGAGGGACAAAGAAGGGUGCAGAGUCCCGUGGGUGCUCUCUAUCCCUGUGCACGGCCCCCAGGAGCACCUAAAUCCACCUUCGCGCAGGCGUGUGCGGAGGCAGGAGCUCACCCCCCCGCCCUGGGGCCCACAAGCCCACAGGGAAGUCUAGCUGAAGAUAUUUAUGGAGAAGCUGGGGCUGAGGUGCAGCAAGAUGGAGCUCUAAGCCCUCUGGAUGGCAGGGCCACCUCUGGUGCCGAGAGCGCUCUGGGCAGCGCCGCUGCCCUGGGUGCAGCUGGCUACAUGGGAAGUCCUUGCUGGUGAGCCCAUGUUAGAGCCAAACGGCUCAAACCGUUUGCUGUGAACGCCCGGCACCAUCAACAACUGAACAUCUGACGGUCUGCUCCCAUGUUUGCA
This is a long non-coding RNA of Rhea pennata, 2644 nucleotides long. RefSeq lists it as uncharacterized. Lineage: Eukaryota; Metazoa; Chordata; Aves; Rheiformes; Rheidae. The record is from RefSeq and is a predicted model, not a curated record. The transcript is spliced from 5 exons.